GGGAAACAGUUUUAAUAAUGGUAGAACAGUUCACCAGGAACAUAACUCUGAAACAGCCUCUAAAUAUAUAAAGCAAUUGACAGUUACAAACAAGUUUAGGCCCAAAAUAAUAGUAAUAAUGUAGUAAGCAAUAAGUACAAAAAGAGUAGAAUUUUAAAAUCUACAUCUAAUACAAUUACAUGAACUGUUUCUCAACUAUUAGGUAAAGCUUUUUAAACAUGUAAUAUUUAUAAAAACUGAUACCAUCGUAGCCAAAAGAAAUUCCAAAUGCUUGAAUUCAGAAAAUGAACUUCUAGAAAAGUCAGAUCAUGUUGUAAAUUAGAAGAUAUUUCUAACUAAAUGGCAAUAUAAAUAUUUUAAAAUUAUAGUACCCCUUAAAUGUCAGUUUCUUUUGGAUCUGCUUUCUUACAUCACAGUACACAAGAAUGCACAUAAUAAGCACUCAGCAAUGUUUAAAUGAAUCUCCAUAUAAAAUGCAAUGUGGUAACAUGUAAAUGAAGCACUAAUUUAGAAUUUUAUACAGGCAUACCUCAUUGUGCUUUACAGACACUCUUUUUUACAAACUGAAGCAUUAUGGCAACCCUAUGUUGUCAUACAAUGGUAUUUUUUUGUAAUAAAUAUUUUUUACUUAAGGUAUGUACUUGUUUCUUUAGAUUUCAUGUUAUUGCUUAAUAGGCUAUAGUAUAAGAUGAAGAUAACAUUUAUAUUUACUAAAAACAAAAAAAUCUCUACUACUUACUUUAUUGGUCUGCAACUGAAUCCACAGUAUUUCUGGAGUAUGCCUGUAUACUUUAAUGCAUGUACUUAAAAUGAUGAAGAAUAUUUACCUAAGAAUGCCAAUAAAGAGGUAAAAAGACACAGCAAAAUAAACCUACAGGAAGUAGAGGUAGAUAAGGAAAUAAGAGCAGAAAUCAACAGCAAAUGCAAGAAAGAAUCAAAACCUCUGUCUGAAAAUAAUUAUUUUAUAGCAAAGUUAAUCAAAGAAGACUUAAAGAUGAUUUUGAGUUGAGAAUCUACCUAUAACCCCAUUUACAAUCUCAUGAAAAAGAAUCUAGGAGUAAACCCACCUAAGAAAACUAAAAGAUGAGAACUCAGAAAACUGUAAAGACAUUGAUAAAAUAGAGGAUGACCCAAACACAUGGAAAGGGAUAAUGUGUUUAUGGAUUGAAAGAAUCAACAUAGUUGUAAUGGCCAUACAACACAGGGUAACCUACAGAUUCCAUUCAACCCCUAUAAAAUUACCAAGGGCGGAGUUCCCAUCGUGGCGCAGUGGUUAAUGAAUCCGACUAGGAACCAUGAGGUUGUGGGUUUGGUCCCUGCCCUUGCUGUGGUGUAGAUUGCAGACGUGGCUCGGAUCCCGUGUUGCUGUGGCUCUGGCGUAGGCCAGUGGCUACAGCUCUGAUUUGACCCCUAGCCUGGGAACCUCCAUAUGCCAUGGGAGCGGCCCAAGAAAUAGCAAAAAGAAAAAAAAAAAAAUACCAAGGACAUUUUUCACAGAAAUAGAACAAAUAAUUUUUAAAUUUGUAUGGAAAUACAACAACUCUGAAUGGCCAAAAUAAUCUUGAGAAUAAAAGAACAAAGCUAGAAGAAUCAUGGACCCUAACUUCAAACUAUACUACAAAGCAACAAUAAUCAAAAUAGUAUGGUACCAGCACCAAAAAACAUGCUUAGAUUGGUGGAAUAGAAAAGAGAGCUCAGAAAUAAAUCCAUACACUUGUGGUCAGUUUUAACAAAGGAGACAAGAACAUAGAAUGGUGAAAAGAAAAAUCUCCCAAUAAGUGAGCUAUAGGUGUAAGUAUAUACUCAAUGGUUUUUAAUAUAUAGGUAGCAAUUAGAUGAUGCUGGGAUCAAUAAGUGGUGCUGGGAAAAGACAUUCAUGUAAAAGAAUGAAAUCAGAAUAUUCUCUAACACCAUAUACAAAAAUAAACUCAAAAUGGAUUAAAGACCUAAGUAUAUGGCUUUUAUGUGUAAUUAAACUCUUAAAGGAAAACAUAUGCAGAACACUCUUUGACACAAAUUAUAACAAUUUUUUUAGAUGUUUCCUAAAGAAAAUAAACAAAUGGGACCUAAUUAAACUUAACAGCUUUUGUACAGUGAAGGAAACCAUCAAAACAAAAAAACCUAUAGAAUGGAAAAAAUAUUCACAAAUGCUCUGACCAGCAAGGGCUUAAUUUCAACCAAAAUAUACAAAGAGCUCUACAGCUAAAUAACAAACAACCCAAUCAAAAAAUAGGCAGAAGACCUAAAUAUUUCUCAGAAGACAUGGCCAAUAGGCACAUGAAUAGAUGUUCAACAUUGCUAUUUACUACAGAGAGGCAAAACUACAAAGAGGUACCACCUCACACUGGUCAGACUGGCCACCAUCAAAAAGUCUAUGAAUAAAAAUUGCUAGAGAGGGUAUAAAAAGGAACACCUCUAUACUGUUGGUGAGAAUGUAAACUGGUGAAACCACUAGGGAGAAUGGAGCAGAGGUUUCUUAAAAAAAAAAGAAAAAAAAUUUAGAGCUACCAUAUAAUCCUACAAUCCCACACUUGGGCAUAUAUCUGGAGAAAAAUUUGAUUUGAAAAUAUGGUAUGCUCAUGUUCAUAGCACCACUAGUUAACAAUAGCAAAAAUAAGGAAACAAUCUAAGUACCUAUUGACAGAUGAAUGGAUAAAGGAGAUGUGGUAUUUAUACACAAUCAGCCAUAAAAAGAAUGAAAUAAUGCCAUUUUGCAGCAACAUAGAUGGACCUAGAAAUUAUCAUAUGAAGUAAGCCAAAGACAACUACUACAUGACAUCACUUAAAUGUGGCAUUCUUAAAAAAAAAAAAUACAAAUUAACUUAUUUACAAAACAUAAAUCUACUCAUAGACAUAGAAAAUUUAUGGUUAACGAAGAGGAAAGGAAGAGUGGGGGUUAAUUAGGAGUUUAGGAUUAAAAUAUACACACUACUAUAUAUGAAGCAUAACCAACAAGGACCCACUGUAAAGCACAGGGGGAAUAUACCCAAUUUCUUUUAAUUACCUAUAAUGGACAAGAAUGUAAAAUAUAUUUUAUAUAUAUGUAUAACUGAAUCACUUUGCUGUGUACCUGAAACCAGCACAUUGUAAAUUACAAUACAUUUUUUUAAAGUUGCAGAGAAAUAUUGUAUAACAGGAAAUAUAGUGAAUAUUGGAUAACUCUAAAUGUAGUAUAACCUUCAAAAAUUAUGAUUCACUAUACUGUACAUCUGAAACUUAUAUGGUACAGCAACUAUAUCUCAAACAAUGAAAUUAAAUUUUAUAAAGGUGACAUACUCGACAAAUACUGUACAGACAAGAAAGCACAAAAAUUAAAAGAUAAAUCAAUUACCCAGGAAAAAAAAAAAGGACUUCUGUGGGAGGUCUACAAAAUACAUACACACUAAAAAUUAUGAAACAUUACUGGGACAUUACCAUAGACCUAUAAAUUAAAAGAAAUAACAUGUACAAAAACUGGAAGACUUGAUAUUGCUACAGUUCUCCCAAAAUUGCUAUAUGGAUUCAAUACAAUGCAAGUCUAGUCAAAAUCUCAGGUGUGUUUUGGAGAACAACAAGAUAAUAUCUAUAUUGAAAUGCAAAUAGCCAAGAAUUGCAGACACUCUUACAAUAAAAGGGGAAUGGAUAUACUAUUAUAUCAAGAUGUAUAUAAAACUAUUAAGCUAUUAUAGUUAGGAUAGUGUAAUAGUAGUACAGGAAUGUAGUUGAACAGAAAGAGGACCUACAACAAGACCAUUCCUUUGGUGACAGAAGCUCUCACUGUGGCACAAUGGGAUCAGCAGCAUCUUGGGAGUGCUGGGACAUGGGUUCAAUCUCCAGCCCAUGGGUUAAGGAUCUGGCAUUGCUGUGAGCUGUGGUGUAGGUCGCAGAUGUGGCUGGGAUCUAGCGUUGCUGUGGCUACAACUCACCUAGAGAUGAAGGAUGUGUUUUCAAGGUGGCUCACUUAAGGCUGGCAAGUUAAUAUGGUUACUUCUCAAAUGGGAGUUCUGCCAGGGCAGAGGGCUGGGGAUCAUAGUUCCUUCCCAGUUGGGCUUUGAUUGUCACAGGCUGUUUGGGCUUCCUCACAUUAUGAUGGCUGAGUUC
RNAcentral lists this long non-coding RNA (4080 nucleotides) under Sus scrofa (pig). Its description in RNAcentral is "lncRNA (ENSSSCG00040043212.1)". Lineage: Eukaryota; Metazoa; Chordata; Mammalia; Artiodactyla; Suidae. The record is from RNAcentral.